CAGUAGCCACGGUAAUACGUAGGUGGCAAGCGUUGUCCGGAAUUAUUGGGCGUAAAGGGCUCGCAGGCGGUUUCUUAAGUCUGAUGUGAAAGCCCCCGGCUCAACCGGGGAGGGUCAUUGGAAACUGGGAAACUUGAGUGCAGAAGAGGAGAGUGGAAUUCCACGUGUAGCGGUGAAAUGCGUAGAGAUGUGGAGGAACACCAGUGGCGAAGGCGACUCUCUGGUCUGUAACUGGCGCUGAGGAGCGAAAGCGUGGGGAGCGAACAGGAUUAGAUACCCCCGUAGUCCCUGUCUCUUAUAA
RNAcentral lists this ribosomal RNA (301 nucleotides) under uncultured bacterium. RNAcentral's name for it is "partial 16S ribosomal RNA". It matches the Rfam family "Bacterial small subunit ribosomal RNA", at positions 509 to 809 of the family's 1533-position model. The record is from RNAcentral.